UGCUAGGGGCGCCUUUGGCUGAGAUGAAGUUUAACUUCUGUCCCUUAUUACUUGAACCAGAUAAUGCUGGCGUAAGGAAGCA
This 82-nucleotide non-coding RNA is filed under the name uncultured Catonella sp. RNAcentral's name for it is "TPP riboswitch (THI element)". It matches the Rfam family "TPP riboswitch aptamer (THI element)", at positions 7 to 92 of the family's 105-position model. Rfam says of the family: Vitamin B(1) in its active form thiamin pyrophosphate (TPP) is an essential coenzyme that is synthesised by coupling of pyrimidine and thiazole moieties in bacteria. The previously detected thiamin-regulatory element, thi box was extended, resulting in a new, highly conserved RNA secondary structure, the THI element, which is widely distributed in eubacteria and also occurs in some archaea. Analysis of operon structures identified a large number of new candidate thiamin-regulated genes, mostly transporters, in various prokaryotic organisms. Lineage: Bacteria; Bacillati; Bacillota; Clostridia; Lachnospirales; Lachnospiraceae. The record is from RNAcentral.